Molecule: long non-coding RNA, 11000 nt
Filed under: Lynx pardinus (Iberian lynx)
Lineage: Eukaryota; Metazoa; Chordata; Mammalia; Carnivora; Felidae
Source: RNAcentral
GCUGCGGGGGCCGUUGAUAGAGAGGCCGACCGCGCCUGGUGUGCGCAGCCAGGCCGGGCCUCCUGGAAACGCCCCUGAGAAAUGAGCUCAUGCUGGAUGCGCGCGCUUCUUGGGCGCGCCUGCCCAGCGCAAAGCGAGCCCCGAAAGCAGGUAUGGGGAAAUGCAGUCAGGCCGGAUAUCCUGAAGCCUCCGAGGAAACGGGGAGUCAGAACAGCCCAUAGCUUUUGGUCGUUUGGAACCAGGGUGAUCUAGAAAAGUACUAGUUAAGUAGGUUUCACACAUAGGCCGGUAUUCAUUGUUCUACAGAGAACCAAUUCCUUUGGUUUGCUUUAAGACUGUGAGGUAUAGUUACGCCAGGAUAGCAGAAAAAGUAGAAUGAACAGCUGCCAUCCUGACUAAUCCCGUGGUGCCUGUAAUUUCCAUGUGCAUAGUCAUCCUUUUUGUGAAGAUACUAUCUCCAGAAAGCACAUGUAAAAAUACAGUUGAUCAGCUUACCUAGCUAUUGCUUUGAAAUACUUGUGAGGGACUUGGAACAAAGUAAGCUUUGAUGGGAGACAGGAAAGUCUAGAUAGGGCUUGCAGACUCACAUGUCUACGAAGGCCAGAAAAGUAAAGCAAAUGAAUGAAAUUGGCCUUGUAUAUAUAAGACAACGGAGAAUAAUAAGAAAUGUGGCAAAUUAUUGUCCGUGGUGUAACUGAAAGGAGCAGCUGUUCAGCUCUAGCAAAUUGUUGCCUACAGGCAUGUGGGUCCAGUGUUCUGAGAUAGAUGGUUUUUUCCCAAGAGAAACCCUAAAACUGGGUUUUUGUGUGAAAUCUCUGGUUGUUGGUUUCUUGUUUUUUUUUUUAACAUUUAUUUAUGAGAGACAGCGGGAGAUGGAGGGAGACACAGAAUCCGAAGCAGGUUCCAGGCUCUGAGCUGUCAACACAGCACCCGAUGCGGGGCUCGAACUCACAAACCAUGAGAUCAUGACCUGAACCAAAGUCGUAUGUUUAACCGACUGAGCCACCCAGGCACCCCUUGAAAUCUCUGGGUUUUUAAAUGUUGGCAACCAAUAUUCAGAAAUCUGCAGGCCAAACUUAAAACAUUCAGAAGUAGACAUGGCCAACGUGCAGUACAUUUGCAAUAUCGAACCUGAACAUAGGUUUUAUAGCCCAUAGAGACUCUUGGUUUUUGCAAUUAGAGAAAUCAUGAGGUCUCUGGAUGUCACGGAAGAGGAUAAAGAAUGUUAAAAGUAAACUCAGUAUAUGGCAACUUUGUCAGGUGAAUGUUGUCUCUCCAUGCCAUUAUGAAAGACCGUUGCUUGAGCCUGGGUGGCUCAGUCAGUUAAGCAUAGGACUUCAGCUCAGGUCUUGAGUUCCAGCCCUGCACUGGACUCUGCUGACAGCGCAGAGCCUACCUGGGAUUUUCUCUCUCUGACUCUCUCUCCUUCUCUCUCUCUCUCUCGCUCUCUCUCUCUUCCAAAAAUGAACAUUUAUUAAAGAGAGAGAGAGAGAGAAAAGACCUUUGUCUCUAGUAUCUAAAGUGCUGUGAAGCAAAGCUUUAAAUCCUGCCUUCCUCUUUACUCCCUAUCCCUGCUUCCAAUUAUACCAGCAGGAAACUGGAUGACAAAAGUUCAGGUUAUACAAAUUGGAAACAUGGCUAUUCUUGUAUAUACAACAAAGCACAAAAAUAGUCAAACUUACUGCCUCCAAAUAUUUUGAACUGAUGCUGUUAAAAAAAAAGUCUGACCAGGGUGCCUGGGUAGCUCGGUUAAAUGUCUGACUCUUGAUCUCGGCUCAGGUCAUGGUCUCAGUUAGUGAAAUCGAGCCCCAAGUUGGGCUGUCUGCCAUCAGCUGCUUGGGAGUCUCUCUCUCAAAAAAAAAAUCUGACCAACAGAGGGAAAUUUUAUAGGAAAAAAAAAAAAAGUAUUUCAGUCUAGAAUUAGGGCGUAAGAAGGGAGAAGUUUAUGAGAAAAUACAGUACUGAAAUUAACAUUCAGUGAUUCUCUGAACUUUCAAACUCUUGCUUUACCUUCUCACCUGUUGUCAACCACUUAUCAGUUUAUAGUAAUUUCUUUAACUUUAUUUAUUUUGAGAGAGGGAAAGAGCAAGCAGGGGAGGGACAGAGAGAAUCACAAGCAGGCUCCACACUGCCAGNGGGCGGUGGGGAGGGGGGGCUAUCAUAAUUUUAAUAGUUGAUAUUUACUGAGUGUUUACAAUGUCCCAGACAGUGUUAUAAAGUGCUUCACACAUAUUAUCUCAAACUUAUAACACUAUGCUGUAAGUCUGCACUGACAGUGUGGAGCCUGCUUGAGAUUCUCUCUCUUCCUCUCUCUCUGCCCCUCCCCUGAUCUCUCUCUCUCAAAAUAAAUAAAAAAUAAAUUUUAAAAUAAAUGCACAAUGAACUAGCUUCUGUAGUAGUAACAAAUAUUUGUAUAGCAGUUUGCAGUUAGGAAGUACUAUCAUGUUUAUAAAGUUUAGGAAGUACUAUUAUGAAAUUACUGUUUUUACAAACGAGGAAACUAUAGAGUAAAUGACUUGCUUAAAAUCACUUAGCUGCAUUUUUAAUUGAAACUAGAAGAAAAUAUAGGCAGGUUUAAGAAUGAAGAUAGCAAAUAGAAUAUGAGAUGCAGUUUAAAUGAACCCAGAGUCAACCAUUCCAAACAGAAGCCCACAGGCAAACUCUUCAUCAUAGAACCUAAUUUAUUUAGCCAGAAUAUAGCCAACUUAAAUGUUGGGUGCUGGUCUUCAAAUUUAAAAAAAUUUUUUUUUUCAACGUUUAUUUAUUUUUGGGACAGAGAGAGACAGAGCAUGAACGGGGGAGGGGCAGAGAGAGAGGGAGACACAGAAUCGGAAGCAGGCUCCAGGCUCUGAGCUAUCAGCCCAGAGCCCGAUGCGGGGCUCGGACUCACGGACCGCGAGAUCGUGACCUGGCUGAAGUCGGACGCUUAACCGACUGCGCCACCCAGGCGCCCCAUGGUCUUCAAAUUUUAAUAAGAGAUGGUCUCUGUGCUCCGGAUACUUGCAGUCAAAUACUAUGAGAUGAACAAGAGUUGGUUAAUGAACUCUAGGAAAGCCCUCCAAUAUUAAGGUCAACGAUUAAAAGAAAGGGAAAAAUAUAUUUACAUUUAUUGAGUGACUAUUUAACUUUACCAAAAAACCCCAAGAGAUAGGUGUUAUUAGCCCUUCUUUUAAUAGGUGAAGGAAAAAAUAAGGACAUCACUCAAGGUCACAUGAUCAGUAAAUGGCAAAGCUGGGAUGGGAUCUACACCUUAGUCUCUUUCUACUAGCUCACCCUGCCUUCCAUCAAAAAAGUAACAUAAUUUAUAAAGUUAUAUGUGUGUGUGUGAUGUUCAGAAAUAUUAAUUCUGAUGGCAUUUUGGAUGACCUUUAUUGUUUCCAUGCUUUCCAGUAUUAUCUUCAUUUUCCACUUUUACAAUGUGGAAGAAAACACUUAAGAAGAAAAAACAAAGGUAGGAAUGCAGAAGAACCAAAAAAUAAAAUAAAAUAAUAAAAUAAAAUAAUAAAAUAAUAAAAAAUAAAAUAGCUCAAUUUGGGAAUUAACACAUUGAAAAGUACAGAGGGGGGCGCCUGGGUGGCAGUCGGUUAAGCGUCCGACUUCAGCCAGGUCACGAUCUCGCGGUCUGGGAGUUCAAGCCCCGCGUCAGGCUCUGGGCUGAUGGCUCAGAGCCGGGAGCCUGUUUCUGAUUCUGUGUCUCCCUCUCUCUCUGCCCCUCCCCCGUUCAUGCUCUGUCUCUCUCUGUCCCAAAAAUAAAUAAAUGUUGAAAAAAAAAAAUUAAAAAAAAAAAAAAAGUACAGAGGUACCUUAGUCAAUAACUUUUGAUAAUGUUCCACAGGAAAGUAAUCUAACAGGAAAGGUAAGUAGCAGUUGCUAGACAGGCACUUUUAGAGGGAUUCAAGGAGACAAUUUCAGGGCUGAGUAGAAAAGAGACCUAGAAAAAUAGAGCAUCUUUAGAGAGUCUGAAGCAAAAGAAGAAAUGUGCUCCUCCCUCGGUAGUAGGCUUUGACACCAAAAAGAGAUUGGUCAUUACUGACACUACCAUGUAAAUGGGUCAAUUUUAUGUCUAAGGGAGAUGAAGUGGACUAUUGACUAAAUAGGAAUCAUCAGAGGAAUUUAAUUUGGCAGCAGUAUUGAGCCAUUUUGAAAAUUAUACCCUUUUUUUAAAGUUUUUAUUUUAUACCAGUUAUUUAACAUACAGUUUAUAAUAUUAGUUUCAGGUGUACAAUAUAGUGAUUCAACACUUCCAUACAAUACCCCAGCACUAAUCACAAGUGCACACCUUAAUCCCCAUCACCUAUUUAACCCAUCCCCCCACCCACCUCCCCUCUGGUAAUCAUCACUUUAUUCUCUGUAAUAAGAGUCUGUUUCUUGGUAUACCUCUUUCUCUCUCUUUUUCCCCUUUGCUCAUUUGCUUUCUUUCUUGAUUCCACAUAUAAGCAAAAUCAUACAAUAUUUAUCUUUCUCUGACUUAUUUUGCUUAGCAUAAUACUCUGUAGCUCCAUCCAUAUCAUUGUAAUUGGCAAGAUUUCAUUCUUUUUUAUGGCUGAAUAAUAUUCCAUUAUAUAUAUACAUCUUUAUCCAUUCAUCAGUCAAUGGACAUUUGGGCUGUUUUUGUAAUUUGGCUAUUAAAGAUAAUGUUGCUAUAUCAUCAGGGUGCAUGUAUCCCUUUGAAUUAGUAUUUUUGCAUUCUUUGGGUAAAUACCUAGUAGAGCAAUUACUGGAUUGGAUUGUAGGGUAGUUCUAUUUUUAACUUUUUGAGGAAACUCCAUACUGUUUUCCAGAAUGGCUGCACCAGUUUGCAUUCCCACCAACAAUGCAAGAGUGUUCCCCUAUCUCCACUCUUUGCCAGCACUUGUUUCCUGUGUUGUUGAUUUUAGCUAUUCUAAGAGGUGUGAAGUGAUAUUACAGUUUUGAUUUACCCUUCCCUGAUGAUGAGUGAUGUUGAGCAUCUUUUCAUGUGUCUGUUGGCUAUCUGUAUGUCUUCUUUGGAAAAGUGUCUAUUUAUGUCUUCUGCCCAUUUUCAAAUUGUAUUAUUCAUUUUUUGUGUAUUGAAUUUGAUAAGUUCUUUAUAGAUUUUGGAUACUAAUCCUUAAUCAGAUAUGUCAUUUGCAAAUAUCUUCUCCCAUUCUGUAGGUUGCCUUUUAGUUUUAUUGAUUGUUUCCUUUGCUGUGCAAAAGCUUUUUAUUUUGAUGAAGUCCCAAUAGUUCAUUUUUGCUUUUGUUUCCCUUUGCCUCAGGAGACAUAGCUAGAAAGAAGAUGCUACAGCCAGUGUCAAAGAGGUUACUGCCUAUGUUCUCUUCUAGGAUUUUUAUGGUUUCAGGUCUCACAUUUAGGCCUUUAAUCCAUUUUGAAUUUAUGUAUGUAUAAGACAACAUGUUGCUGUCCAGUUUUCCCAACACCAUUUGUUGAAAAGACUGUCUUUUUCCCAUUGGAUAUUUUUUCUUGAUUUGUCAAAGAUUAAUUGACCAUAUAGUUGUAGGUUCAUUUCUGGGUUUUCUAUUCUGUUCCUCUGACCUAUGGGUCUAUUUUUGUGCCAGUACCAUAAUGUUUUGAUCACUACAGCUCUUUUUUAAAUGUUUAUUUAUUUAUUUUGAAAGAGAGAGAGGGAAUGCAUGGGGGAGGGGCAGAGACAGAGGGCAAGAGAAUCCCAAAUAGGCUCUGCACUAUCAGCAACAGAGCCCAGUGUGAAGCUUGAUCUCAUGGAACCAUGAGAUGAUGACCUGAGAAAUCAAGAGCCAGACUUCAAGUUAGGAAUUAUGAAUUGAGGUCCAGAAUUGUGAUGCCCCCAGCUUGCUUUUCUUUUUCAAGAUUGCUUUGGCUGUUCGAGGUCUUCUGUGGUUCCAUACACAUAUUCGGAUUGUUUAUUCUAGCUCUGUGAAAAAUGCUGGUAGUAUUUUGAUAGAGAUUGCAUUAAAUGUGUAAAUUGCUUUGGGUAGUAUAGACAUUUCAAGAAUAUUUGUUCUUUCAAUCUAUGAGUGGGGAAUGUUUUUCCAUUUCUUUGUGUCAUCUUCAAUUUUUUUCUUCAGUGAUUUAUAGUUUUCAGAGUACAGGUCUUUCACCUCUUCGGUUAGGUUUAUACAUAGGUAUCUUACUGUUUUUGGUGCAGUUGUAAAGGAUUGAUUCCUAAAUUUCUCUUUCUGCUAUUUCAUUAUUGGUAUACAGAAAUACAAUGAAUUUCUAUACAUUGAUUUUAUACCCUGUAACUUUACUGAAUUUAUCAAUUCUAGCAGUUUUUUAGUGGAAACUUUCAGGUUUUCUGUAGAUAGUAUCAUGUCAUCUACAAAUACCGAAAGUUUGAUUUCUUCCUUGCCAAUUUGAAUGCCUUUUAUUUCUUUUUGUUGUCUGAUUGCUAAGGCUAGGACUUCCAGUACUAUGUUAAAUAAAAGUGGAAAGAGUGGACAUCCUGCCCUGUUCCUGACUAUAAAAGAAAAGCUCAGUUUUUCCCCAUUUAGGACAUUAACUGGGUUUUUCAUAUAUGGUCUUUAUUGUGUUGAGGUAUGUUCCCUUUCAACCUACGUUAUUGAGAGUUUUUAUCAUGAAUGGAGGUGGUACUUUGUCAAAUGCUUUUUCUUCAUCUGUUGAAAUGAUACGGUUCUUAUCCUUUGUUUUACUAAUGUGAUGUAUCAUAUUGAUUGAUUUGUGAGUAUUGAACCACACUUGCAACACAGGAAUAAAUCCCAUUUGAUCAUGGUGAGUGAUUUUUUUUUAAUGUAUUGUUGGAUUUAGUUUGCUAGUAUUUUAUUGAGAAUUUUUACAUCCAUGUUCAUCAGGGAUAUUGGCCUGUAGUUCUUGGUUUUUAUUGGAGUCUUUAUCUGGUUUUGGUAUCAGGGUAAUGCUGGCCUCACAGAAUGAAUUUGGAACUUUUCCUUCCUUUUCUAUUUUUUGCAAAAGUUUGAGAGGAAUUAGUAUUAACUCUUCUUCAAAUGUUUGGUAGAAUUCACCUCUGAAGCCACCUGGUCCUGUUUUGAUUACUGAUUCAAUUUCUCUGCUGGUUAUUGGUCUGCUCAAGUUUUCUAUUUCCUCCUGUUUCAGUUUUGGUGGUUUAUAUAUCUCUAGAAAUUUAUGCAUUUCUUCCAGGUUGUCCAAUUUGUUGGCAUAUAGUUUUUCAUAAUAGUCUCUUAUAAUUGUUUGCAUUUCUGUGAUGUUGGUUGUUAUUCCUCCUUCUCAUUUGUGAUUUUAUUUAUUUGGCUCCUUUCUCUUUUCUUUUUGACAAGUCUGGCUAGAGGUUUAUCAAUUUGAUUAUUUUUUGUCAAAGAACCAGCUCCUGGUUUCUUUGAUCUAUUGAUUUUUUAGUUUCUAUAUCAUUUAUUUCUGCCCUAAUCUUUAUUAUUUCCUUCCUUCUGAUGACUUUAGACUUCAUUUUUUCUCCCUAACUUCUUUAGAUGUAAGGUUAGGUUGUCUAUUUGAGAUUUUUCUUGCUUCUUGAGGUAGACCUAUAUUGCUAUAUAUUUCCCUCUUAAGACCACUUUUGCUGCAUCCCAAAGGUUUUGAACUGUUGUGUCUUCAUUUUCAUUUCUUUCCAUGUACUUUUUAAAAUUUCUUCUUUGAUUUCCUGGUUGACUCAGUAAUUAUUUAGUAGCAUGUUCUUUAACCUCCAUGUAUUUGUGGUCUUUCCAGAUUUUUUUCUUGUGGUUGACUUCUAGUUUCAUAGCAUUGUGGUCAGAAAAGUUGCAUGGUAUGAUUUCAGUAUUUUUUGUUGUUGUUGUUGAGGCCUGUUUUGUGACCCAAUAUGUGAUCCAUUCUGGAGAAUGUUCAAUGUGCACUUGAAAAGAAUGUGUAUUCUGCUGUUUUAGGGAUGGAAUGUUCUGCAUAUAUCUGUGAAGUCCAUCUGGUCCAGUGUGUCAUUCAAAGCCAUUUUUUCCUUGUUUUUUUCUGUUUACAUGAUCCGUCCAUUGAUGUAAGUGGGGUGUUAAAGUCCUCUAGUAUUAUCAAUUCAUUCCUUUAGGUUUGUUAUUGAUUGUUUUUAUAUUUGGGUGCUUUCAUAUUGGGUGCAUAAAUAUCUACAAUUGAAUUGUUCCCCUUUAUGAUUAUAUAGUGCCCUCUUUAUCUUUUGUUAGAGUUUUUGUUUUAAAGUCUAGUUUGUCCAAUAUAAAUAUUGCUACUCCAGGUUUCUUUUGACAUCCAUUUGCAUGAUAAAUGUUUCUCCAUUCCUUUACUUCCCAUCCGUAGGUAUCCUUAGCUGUAAAAGUAAGGCUCCUGUAGGCAGCACAUAGAUGGGUGUUUGUUUGUUUGUUUGUUUGUUUGUUUUUAUCCAUUCUAACACCCUACGUCUUUUGACUGGCAUGUUUAGUCCCUUUACAGUCAAAGUAAUUAUUGACAGAUAUGUAUUUAUUGCCAUUUUAUUACUUAUUUUGUCAUGGUUUCUGGUUAUUUUCUGAUCCACUCUUUUCUUUGUCACUUUUGGUCUCUCCUUUCCACUCAAAGAAUCCCCUUUAAUGAAAAUUUUACCCUUUGAUCAACAAUAAAUUUAAAUCAUCUGAGACACCACGGUAGGUGUUUGGACCACAUAAGCCUUUAUAUAGUAGUUGAAAUUUUUCUCUAUUUACUGAUGAGAAAACUGAGGAACAAGAGAUUAAGUGACUUUUCAGUCAUAUUUGACUUUUAACUAUAUUGACCCUCACAGGUUGAAGUGAUUCCUACAGAUAUAUAUAGAUGACAGAUUUUACCAGCAGUGCAAGAGUAAGUGAAUGAACAAAAUAGCAAAGUUGACAUUUUCCUACUCUUGGUAGAAACGCCUCCUCAUUCACAUUGUUAGGUGAAAAUAAUGAGCUAAUCAAAUUUGACAAGAAAUUGGCCUGAAAUUUUGAAAUUCUUGAGAAAAAUUUUGCAAAUACCAAGUUACCAUCCACUAUUGGUAAAGUCAACGCUUACCCUAAGUUUAAAUAUGAUUGAGGGGCACCUGGGUGGCUCAGUCAAUUAAGCUUCAGACUUCAGCUGAGGUCACGAUCUCGUGGUUCACGAGUUCGAGCCCCAUGUCAGGCUCUGUGCUGACAGCUCAGAGCCUGGAGCCUGCUUCAGAUUCUGUGUCUCCCUCUCUUUCUACCCCUCUUCCAUUCAUGCUCUGUCUCUAUCUCUCAAAAAUAAAUAUUUAAAAAAUUAUAUGUUUAAAUAUUGUUUAUUAUACCUUAUCCUUUUUUAUUCUUGUAUGUGUCUUAUAUGUGCAUAUCACAUUAGGUCAAGAAUAUAUGUUUUGUAAAUAUGCAGAUUAUAUUGGAGCUGAUAUUAACAUUUUUUUUACUAGUAGGAUAUAGGAUCAUAAAAGUUUCUAGACCACUAUUUUAAACAAAGGUCAGGUUUCCAGAUGGGUAAAGGGAAGAACAUUCCAGGCAAAGAGAAGAGGUUAUUCAAUGCCAGAAAUGUAUGUAAUGAGGUAUUCAGAGAGCUGGAGGUAGUUUGAAAUUAUGCAUAUAGGAUUAGCAUAUAAGGGGUGCCUGGAUAGCUCAGUCAGUUAAACAUCUGCAUCUUGAUUUCAGCUCAGGUCUUGAUCUUAGGGUAGUGAGUUCAAGCCCUGCAUUGGGCUCUGCACUGGGUGUGAAGCCAACUUAAAAAAAAAAAAAAAAAAAAUUGGAGCACCUGGGUGGUCCAGUUGGUUAAGCGACCUGUUUUGGCUCAGGUCAUGAUCUUACCGUUCCUGAGUUUGAGCCCCACAUUGGGCUCUGCGUUGACAGUGCAGAGCCUGCUUGGGAUUUUUUCUCUCUGCCUCUUUCUCAGCCCCUCCUACGUCUCUUUCUCUCUCAAAAUAAAUAAGUAAACUUAAAAAAUUAAUAAAAUUUUUUAAGAAUAUUACCAUAUAAGAUACAGACUUAGAGAAAACAUGGGAAAACAAUAAUCAGAUAAUAGAAGUGUAGUUAGGUAAACUAUAUUAUGUCCAUAUUAUGCAGCCAGUAAAAAUGUAAAGACUAAAAGCAACUCAGAAACAAUACUAAUUGAAAAAUAUAGGACUUCACAUUAUAUGUUACCAUAUUUCCAAUUCUGCAAAAUAUAUAUACAUUCAGAUCAAGACUGAAAAGGAAGACAGAAAUUACAAUGAUUCUGUUAACAUAUCAGCAUAUUUAAUUAUAGAUGAAAAUAUUAGCUUUAAAUGUUUUCAUUUAAUAUUUAUACAAUAAAUCUGAUAUUAAAGGAAAUUUGCCUCCAGACUAAUUUCUUCACUGUGAUUCACAUAUUCCUCAGAAAGCCUCUCUAGGGUGCCUGGGUGGCUCAGUGCAUUGAGCCUCCGACUCUUGAUUUUGGUUCAGGCCAUGAUCCCAGGGUCAUGGGCUCAAGCACUGAUUGGGGUUCUGUGCUGAGCACGGAGCCUGCUUGAGAUUCCUUCUCUCCCUCUGCUCCUCUCCCCAACUCGUGCCCAAUCUCUCUCUCUCUCUCUCUUAAAAAAAAAAGGAGUGGGUUGCGCCUGGGUGGCUCAGUUGGUUGAGCUUCCUUCCAAGCUUCAGCUCAGGUCGUGAUCUCACAGCGGGUGAGUUCAAGGCCCACCUCAGGCUCUGUGCUGACAGCUCAGGGCCUGGAGCCUGCUUCGGAUUCUGUGUCCCCCUCUCUCUGCCCCUCUCCCCCUCACACUCUGUCUCACUCUCAAAAUAAAUAAAAAACAUUUAAAAAAAAUUUUUUUAAGCCUCUACAUGGAAUUCCUCAGCAACACUAUCCACCACUAACAUUUUUAUUGAUAAUCCUUUGUAAUGUGACUUAAAUUAAUAAGUCUAGUCAGUAUCUACUGAGUACAUACUAUAUGCAAGACAUUUGUUAGAUACCUGAUAUAAAGAGGUAUAUUAGCUACAUGAGUGGCUCUGUGCCCUUGGGGAGCUUAUCUUAUAGGGAAACAAACACAUGGUAAGUUAAAUAAUUAUUUAAAAUCACAAUUUGAACCCAUAAAAAACUUACAAGCCAGAACACAAUUUGCUCAAAUGAAUUUUCAUGCUGUCCUAUUUAUAAUGAGUGGAAAACACUUCAGUCUAAAGUGGAUCUUAAAGGAUAAGUACUAGGAUUUGGAGAUGAAGAAAGGAGAG